Molecule: ribosomal RNA, 254 nt
Filed under: uncultured bacterium
Lineage: Bacteria
Description: partial 16S ribosomal RNA
Rfam family: Bacterial small subunit ribosomal RNA
Source: RNAcentral
GACGUAGGGCGCGAGCGUUGUCCGGAUUUAUUGGGCGUAAAGAGCUCGUAGGCGGCUUGUCGCGUCGACUGUGAAAUCCCGCGGCUCAACUGCGGGUCUGCAGUCGAUACGGGCAGGCGUAGAGUUCGGUAGGGGAGACUGGAAUUCCUGGUGUAGCGGUGAAAUGCGCAGAUAUCAGGAGGAACACCGAUGGCGAAGGCAGGUCUCUGGGCCGAUACUGACGCUGAGGAGCGAAAGCGUGGGGAGCGAACAGG